Molecule: non-coding RNA, 269 nt
Organism: Hydra vulgaris (swiftwater hydra)
Lineage: Eukaryota; Metazoa; Cnidaria; Hydrozoa; Anthoathecata; Hydridae
Source: RefSeq, a predicted model, not a curated record
UGGAGCAGGAGGAGGUGGAGGUGGAGGAGGAGGUGGAAGCCAAAGUAGAGGCAGAGGUCAUAACAGAGGUGGAGGUGAACACAGAAGCAGAGGUGGUGGCGAAAACCGAGGAAGAGGCAGAGGCAAAUAAGUCUAAAAAAGAUCGCCAACUUUUGCACCAUGCUCGAACUUUCAAGUAAUUGUUGUAAUCUUUACAAAUAGGACUUAAUGUAAUUUUCAAAAAUAGCAAUCGAUGUAAUCUUAUGUGUUUAGAAAUAUUAGUAAAUUAA